GCUAAUACCGCAUAAUGCCUACGGGCCAAAGAGGGGGAUCUUCGGACCUCUCGCGUCAAGAUAUGCCUAGGUGGGAUUAGCUAGUUGGUGAGGUAAUGGCUCACCAAGGCGACGAUCCCUAGCUGGUCUGAGAGGAUGAUCAGCCACACUGAAACUGAGACACGGUCCAGACUCCUACGGGAGGCAGCAGUGGGGAAUAUUGCACAAUGGGCGAAAGCCUGAUGCAGCCAUGCCGCGUGUAUGAAGAAGGCCUUCGGGUUGUAAAGUACUUUCAGUUGUGAGGAAGGGGGUAACGUUAAUAGCGUUAUCUCUUGACGUUAGCAACAGAAGAAGCACCGGCUAACUCCGUGCCAGCAGCCGCGGUAAUACGGAGGGUGCGAGCGUUAAUCGGAAUUACUGGGCGUAAAGCGCAUGCAGGUGGUUCAUUAAGUCAGAUGUGAAAGCCCGGGGCUCAACCUCGGAACUGCAUUUGAAACUGGUGAACUAGAGUGCUGUAGAGGGGGGUAGAAUUUCAGGUGUAGCGGUGAAAUGCGUAGAGAUCUGAAGGAAUACCAGUGGCGAAGGCGGCCCCCUGGA
Molecule: ribosomal RNA, 576 nt
Filed under: uncultured Vibrio sp.
Lineage: Bacteria; Pseudomonadati; Pseudomonadota; Gammaproteobacteria; Vibrionales; Vibrionaceae
Description: bacterial SSU rRNA
Rfam family: Bacterial small subunit ribosomal RNA
Source: RNAcentral